AGAGUUUGAUCCUGGCUCAGAACGAACGCUGGCGGCGUACCUAACACAUGCAAGUCGAGAUCCUUAAGUGGCUUGCCAUUUAAGGAGAGUGGCGAACGGGUGAGUAACACGUGAGUAAUCUGCCCUCGAGUGGGGAACAACCUCGCGAAAGCGGGGCUAAUACCGCAUAACACUCUGAAGCACAAGCUUUAGAGUCAAAGCCUUCGGGUGCUUGGGGAUGAGCUUGCGCCUUAUUAGCUAGUUGGUGGGGUAACGGCCUACCAAGGUAAUGAUGAGUAGCCGGCCUGAGAGGGUGUACGGCCACACUGGAACUGCGACACGGUCCAGACUCCUACGGGAGGCAGCAGUGGGGAAUUUUGCGCAAUGGGCGAAAGCCUGACGCAGCGACGCCGCGUGGAGGAUGACGGCCUUCGGGUUGUAAACUCCUGUCAGAGGUGAAGAAUGCCCUUCGGGGUUUGACGGUAACCUCAUAGGAAGCCCCGGCUAACUACGUGCCAGCGCCCGCGGUAAUAC
RNAcentral lists this ribosomal RNA (513 nucleotides) under uncultured Aminicenantes bacterium. RNAcentral's name for it is "bacterial SSU rRNA". It matches the Rfam family "Bacterial small subunit ribosomal RNA", at positions 8 to 526 of the family's 1533-position model. The record is from RNAcentral. Lineage: Bacteria; Candidatus Aminicenantota.